UACAGAGGGUGCAAGCGUUGUUCGGAAUUAUUGGGCGUAAAGGGCGCGUAGGCGGUUCGGCAAGUCUCUAGUGAAAUCUCUGGGCUCAACUCAGAGUCUGCUGGGGAAACUGCCGGGCUUGAGUGUGGGAGAGGAGAGUGGAAUUCCCGGUGUAGCGGUGAAAUGCGUAGAUAUCGAGAGGAACACCAGUGGCGAAGGCGAGUCUCUGGACACUUCCUGACGCUGAGGCACGAAAGCCAGGGGAGCAAACGGG
RNAcentral lists this ribosomal RNA (253 nucleotides) under uncultured bacterium. RNAcentral's name for it is "partial 16S ribosomal RNA". It matches the Rfam family "Bacterial small subunit ribosomal RNA", at positions 524 to 776 of the family's 1533-position model. The record is from RNAcentral.